CCUACGGGCGGCAUCAGUGGGGAAUAUUGCACAAUGGGGGAAACCCUGAUGCAGCGACGCCGCGUGAGUGAAGAAGUAUUUCGGUAUGUAAAGCUCUAUCCGCAGGGACGAAGAUGACGGUGGCUGCUUAAGAAGCCGCGGCUACCUACGUGCCAGCAGCCGCGGUAAUACGUAGGUGGCAAGCGUCAUCCGGAUUUACUGGGUGGAGAGGGAGCGGAGACGGCAGAACAAGUCUGGAGUGAAAAGGCGGGGCUUAACCCCGGAACUGCUUUGGAAACUGUGGAGCUAGAGUGCAGGAGAGGUAAGGGGAAUUCCGAGUGUAGCGGUGAAAUGCGUAGAUAUAAGGAGGAACACCAGUGGCGAAGGCGGCUUGCUGGACUGUAACUGACGUUGAGGCGCGAAAGCGUGGGGAGCAAACAGGAUUAGAUACCCCUGUAGUC
This 440-nucleotide ribosomal RNA is filed under the name uncultured bacterium. RNAcentral describes it as "partial 16S ribosomal RNA". It matches the Rfam family "Bacterial small subunit ribosomal RNA", at positions 338 to 795 of the family's 1533-position model. The record is from RNAcentral.